UCUAACAUACAUUCCAAUAUAUCAGUUGAUAACGGAAUGCGCGAUAUUUUGCGCACUUUUUCGUCUUCUAUUUUCUAGCUUUAUUUUUAUAAUAUUAAUAUUUUUCUCGCUUUUACACUGAUUAAUGAUUUUGUGUUUAUAAUUGUGAUCGAUCGAUGUAUUAAAUUCAGUAUUCGUGUAUAUAUAUAUAUAUUAUAUAUAUAUAUAGUUUAAUAUAUGAAGUAGAAGCAGUGUUUAUUCGUAAUCCGUAUGAUUUAUUUUAAAAAUAAUCUGAUUAAAUAAAAUUAGAUGCAAUAUAAAUUCGCGAUGUGGAGUCAGUGUUGAUACAUAUUCUUCAUGAUCCUAGAACAGGAAGGUCAUCGUGCAAAAGAUCAACAAAAACUGAUAAGUUCAAUAAAAGAAAAAUCAUUUGUCAUCGUUCUGAGGUAGGAUGCUUAUCGUGCAAAGGAUCAGCAAAGACUACAAUUUUUUCCCUUUUUUCUAUCUUUGAUACGGCAACGGAUAUGUCGCAGAUGCACUAGCAAGUAAUAUGCAACAUUUCUUGCAAGAGAAACUUUUGUGACAUGUGUAACAGAAUAUGUGUAAACAUGUGUGAACACAUCUAAAAUAAUAACUGUUAUUUCUAACUUCCAACGAUGUCCCAAAUAUUUUGUAAGAACUCGUGUGCUAAAGAUAAUGGAAAAAAUGUGUUGAGCGAAGGAAGGGAUACUUAGAUUGAUUUCGUAGUGGAUAAAUUUUUCCGAAUUUUGGGAUAUAAAAAGCAAAAAUUAUCGGAGUAAAAUACAAAAACGGAAUGUCUUAAAUAAUCUUUCGAGUGAAUUUAAUAUCAGUGAAAAUGUAAUUACACAAUUUACAUACACAUUUCUAUCGGGAAUUGAGAAAAAUAUAAGUAAAAUAUAGCGAUAAUACGAUGGAUGAUAUAUAUUCGAAUAAUCGAAAUUAUUUCUAUGCCGUAAUGUUUAUUCAUGAAAAAGACUCAGAUGAAAGAACUCUAACAAUUUGGAUGUACCAUUUCUUUCGCGGACUGAAUGAAGGAGUCAAAUAUAUAUGAUGGAAAGGCAUAUGAUUUGCAAAUUAUUAAGGCGGCCCUGGUUUAUUUUACGAAAUGUUCACAAGAUGGUGCUAUAUAUGUGGGACUUGUUACGCCUCUUCUGGCAAGACACAUAACUAACAUGUCUCGGCGCCAUCAAGCGCAUACGCGGGAAACCAAUAAACAAAAGUGACGAAAAAGUCGCCGGAAACACAAAGAAAAUCAUUGUUCUUUCUUCGACUCUCCUAGAGACAACAGUCAUAACUGCUGGAAGCCACAGUCUAAUUAUACCUGCUACACACCGAACAAAGCUGAAUAAACAUCACAAUUGUUACUUGAUGUGCAAAGUUUCUCUCUACAUAGUGGAUUGUCAACGAUAAAUCCACAGACAUCGUCUACUGUUAUUAUUAUCAAGACCACUUAAGAUUGUGCGUACUGGUACAAUUUGCCAAGAAGUUCGCCGUUCUGCUAAUUACAGAUAAUCAUUGCUUCUCAAGUCAAUUUCGAUUCACAUCGCAAAUGAGUAUUUUGGAACCUCAGAACCAUAGAACUUCUUAAGUAUUUUUUCCACAUAGUGGGCUGUCAACAAUAAUUUGACCACAAUUGAUGACCUCGACGUGAUCUUUGUGCAUCAAGAGUUCCUACAAAAGGAAAAACGUAUCGGUGUCAACCAUACUGCCUCAUCAUAAAAUGCAUACCUCAUGUUCAUAACACUUGAAAAAGAAUCACAAAUAUCGAACACCAUGUUAAGAGGCAACAGUAUACAUACAGAUUGAAAUAUCGGACAAUCUCUAAGGCCCUUGAUCAAGACACGAUCGAGCUGAUUUCAAAUGUGAUACAACAGGAUUCAACGUGAGUCUGAAACCAAUCUCCAUGAAUCAGCAACAACGGCAAGUUUAACAUAGAAAAUACAGACGACAAAGGAACUCAUUCUGAACAAAGGAAUCAAAAUAACAACGGACAAUGGACGCCACGAAACACUGCGACAGCUUCACCCAUCGCAACAGCGUCAAUAACAGGAACAAUAGCAGGAAAUAUAUCUGGUGUGUAGAACCUGUACAAUUAUAAUCAAUCACUAGGCUAUAACAAUAUAUUGCGUUACAAAUGUUAUUCGAUGAGUAAACAUAAAUUGGCGGCAUUCCCCAAAAUUCGACCGGAUCUCUGGUUCAUCAUGGCUGAGGCUGAAUUCACUACUUUUGGAUUCGUUGAUGAUAAAUUAAAAUAACUGAUUGUACUUAACUGCUCUGAUUUCAGACGUGAUACAAAAGGAGCCCGCUACAGACAAAAACAAAGAAACAUCUACGUGAGUCAACGCUUCCAAAUAGAACACCUUUUCAGUUCCUGCGACAAAUGAGCGAAUUGGCUGAUGGUUUCGUUGAUGAUACCAUAUUGCACCAACUUUGGCUUGAACGAAUACCAACAUAUAUCAAACCCUAUCUGAUUACCACAAGUAAACUUCCACUUGAUGCCAACUAUACUAGCCGAGUAUGCAGACCGUUCUUACGAGCUGAUGCCUUACGUUCAACAAAAUAACCAGGUUAUGUAUGGCAACCUUUACACGCUAUCUUGCAUCACCGACUCUUUAUUACAUUGACUCAAAGUUCAUAGAAAUUCAAAAAUUUUUUGUGAUGGAGAUCAAUGAGUUCAUAUCACAACUCAUUCUACUGCAACAACAAAACCAACAACUGCAGGCUUGACAAUCUCCGACGCAUCAUAGUCGCAGCAGUCCAAAGUCAUCGACACCUACUCGCAAUAGAAUCUCCUAUUAUCACCAAAAUUUUGGCAGCGAAGCAAAACGCUGUCUUUUACCUUGUAAAUUCGCUUCAAUGAGAAACUGACAACAACAAAUUAGGGAAACUAACGUCGCUGUCUUCAGUAAGAGCAGUGCAAGACAGCAAUUACAGACCAAAAGAGCUCCGACUACACUACCAAACAGAAAUUCUUGAUUGACUCUAGGUCCGUCGUGUCCAUAACAUCUGCAAAACGUUUCAUAGAAAUAGAAGUACCGACUCACACUUUAUGCUGCAAAUCCAUCACAAAUAUACGGCACUAAAAUUAUCAACUUUGAUUUAAAUCUCCGCAGAGGUUUUUGCUGGUCUUUUAUCAUCGCAGACGUGGAAAUAGCAAUCAUCGGAACUGAUUUCUUAAUUCACUAAAACUUGUUGAUUGAUUAAAAAUAUCAACAAUUGAUAGAUCCAGUGUCUCACCUCUUGUCGAAAGGUAAUGCAAUGGAAGCACAGCAUUACGGCAUCUUAUCUAUAAGUUCAGAUUUGCCUACUAAAUAUGCUGAACUUUUAAAACAAUUCGUUGAAAUCACUUGGUCGAUUAGAGCAAGACAUGCUUAAAUUUAAAAGCACAUCCAUUUGUGCACAAAAUUAUUAUGCAUGGUCUACUAGUCUUACUGUACGAGCACGUAAACUAGCGGAUGAAGAGGCAACGGCGGCAAAAACUCAUAUCAGAGAACUUCUGAACUCCGGAAUCAUUAGAUUCUCCAACAGAAUUUACGCCAAUUCUAUCCAUAUGAUAGGAAAGAAAGACAUCACUGGAGAACGUGCGGUGACUAUCGUAAACUCAAUGAUGCAACUGAUCCUGACAUAUAGUUCUCCGCUCAAACUUUCCGUGUAUACACGAUAGAAAACAUUACAGCAAAAUUGAUUGCGAAAAAGUAUAUCUACAAUUACCUAUGCACGUGGACAACAUUGAGAAACUGCCAUCAUAACAUCUUGGGUUGAGUACUUAGGUAUGCUUUUUAGUCUAAAAAACCACAUCCAGUCGUACCAACGAUUUAUGGACGCACUUUUCAGAGACCUGGACUUCGUCUUCGUCUACAUGGAUUGCAUUCAGGUAUUCUCGGACGAUGAAGACUAAUAUCUGGAACACACACAUUGAACGCUUAAAAGACAACAACCUCGUUAUCAUUCUCAAAAACUGCCUGUUCAACCAAACAGUAAUAAACUUCCUGGGUUACAUCAUUAAUGAACAUGGUUACAUUCCAAGGUGCGAACGAGUUGAUGCCAUUAAAGGAUAUCAGAAACCUAAAACUAUCGCUAAACUUUGCAGAUUUCUCGGCAUGAUCAACUAUCAUUGCUGUGUACUUCAGGCAGUUCAGAUCAUGUUGCCUCUCAACAGUUACCUUAAAGUGUCAAUAAAAAAUGAUAUAUCCAAGAUCACAUGGAGUCCUGAAGCCAAUGAGGCAGUUGAAAUACGCAAAAAUACUCGCAAUUAUCACAUUGCUGGCUUUUCCGUUUUCUAACGAACCAAUAACGCUCACAUCCAACGCAUUCGCAUCUGCUAUCGGAGCUAAACAAUAACAGCUAGAAGAUGAUACCUAAAAACCCGUAGGAUUUUUUUCCAGAUAACUGGGCCAGAUAGAACAGAAAUACAGCACAUACUAUUGUAAACUUCUUGCUGUUUUUCCAUCAGUCAAAUUUUUGCAUCACUUUUUCGAUUUCCGUCAAUUUGUCAUCAAAACGGACAACAAACCACUUACUUUUGUCUUCCAAUAAAAACUGGACCAAACAUCGGAAAGUCAACUACUAUAGCUCGAAUACAUCUCACAAUUUUUCACUGAGUUAGUCUAUGUGAUGAUAGGUCUAUGUGAUGAUUAGGGUGAUGAUAACACAGUCCCAGAUACAGUAUCCUACAUUAAUACUAUAAACAUGCCAUCCAUUCUCACAUCUCUUGAAAUCCAACAAGCACAACUGAACGACAAUGAUCAGAUCAGAGAUAUAAUUUUAUUGAAACUACGAAAAUCACACUAGAACCAGGAAUAAACAUCUAUUGUGACAUUUUGUCAGGAUUCAUCAGACCAUUCUUACCAGAAGCAUUACGCAAGAUAGUUUUCAAAGUCAUCAUAAUCUUUCACACCACAGCAGCUGGAUCACAUCUUUAAAUUUAUACGAAAAAAAAAUUUGGCUUGAUCCUUAAGGACGUACUCAAAAAUGGUCUAGAGAAUAUAUUGCUUGCCUAAGAGGAAAAAUUCAUCGUCACAAUAAGAUCAAGCCAAUCCACAUAGACGUACUUGAUAACCACUUUAACCAUAUUCACUUGGACAUCACCUUUCUGCUGAAUGUCAAACACUACCGAUACUGCUUAACCCUUUCGCGACGGCGCACCUGUACCAUACUUUGUAAUUCCUUCCGCGAAAGCGCAGUAACACUUUUUCAGUAACACUUUGUAGCGAUCUCUACUUAUUAUUCUGCAAAAUAUGUCGCUUUGCAAUAAUUUAUUUUUGUUCCAACAUUCAUCAAUUGAUAAUUUUUUUUCUCUAUACAUUAUUAAGCAAACAGCGAUCAAACAGUACAGUUCUUCUGUCUUUGUCCCAGGUUCAGAAUUACUAUUAUCUAUAUUCUCUCUACUAUUAUCUCAGAAUUACAUAUUAUCUCGUCUCCAAUGAUUAGUUGUUUUUUUCAACAAUGAAAUCCAUCAAUUUCCCAGAUACGAAUAAUUUGAAAAAUUGCAAGAUUUUCCAAGAAUCAGAAAUGUCUGUUUGAAUUCCCGAUUGUUGUCUUGUAAAAUCAUGAAUGGUGAGCCCACAAUUU
Molecule: long non-coding RNA, 5571 nt
Organism: Vespa mandarinia (Asian giant hornet)
Lineage: Eukaryota; Metazoa; Arthropoda; Insecta; Hymenoptera; Vespidae
Source: RefSeq, a predicted model, not a curated record